Molecule: long non-coding RNA, 470 nt
Filed under: Salmo salar (Atlantic salmon)
Lineage: Eukaryota; Metazoa; Chordata; Actinopteri; Salmoniformes; Salmonidae
Description: lncRNA (ENSSSAG00000106474.1)
Source: RNAcentral
GACAUUAAUGAAUGUCGCUUUGAAAGAUCCAUUCUAACCGAGAGAGAGAGAGAGAGAGAGAGAGAGAACUCUCCAAAAGAACGACUCUCCAACAAGGAUCCCGACGACACACUGAGCGUGUGCUGGAGUCAGAGCAGAUCCAUACCAGCUGCAACUCAUCCAUAAAUCAAGACUUCUACAUAUACCCAUUCCUGCCAACUUCCACUCUGCCAGAUCGUAAUCUCUGCUCAUACCGCUCUGUCUCUGGCUCCUGUCUACUGUUCCACAUCUCACCACCAACCACCUUGCUCUGGAUUUUACUCCCCACCAUUACCUUGGAUUCCCCUCAGGACCUGUUUCCCUGUUCUGCUCAGGCAACUCCAAACUCACUCUACACUCCUGUUUUUUUUUUUGCGCUCAUCUGAGCUACCCCGGUUCUGCACUUCAUAUUUCUCUGUGUUCAAUAAACAUUUUGGUGCAUUCCUCCCGGC